UGGCUUAAAAGGGGUUCUAACUCCCACCCAUGUGAACUUACCUUUUGUUGCCUCGGCAGAAGUUAUAGGAUCUCUUAUAGCUGCUGCCGGUGGACCAUUAAACUCUUGUUAUUUUAUGUAAUCUGAGCGUCUUAUUUUAAUAAGUCAAAACUUUCAACAACGGAUCUCUUGGUUCUGGCAUCGAUGAAGAACGCAGCGAAAUGCGAUAAGUAAUGUGAAUUGCAGAAUUCAGUGAAUCAUCGAAUCUUUGAACGCACAUUGCGCCCAUUAGUAUUCUAGUGGGCAUGCCUGUUCGAGCGUCAUUUCAACCCUUAAGCCUAGCUUAGUGUUGGGAAUCUACUUCUCUUAGGAGUUGUAGUUCCUGAAAUACAACGGCGGAUUUGUAGUAUCCUCUGAGCGUAGUAAUCUUUUUCUCGCUUUUGUUAGGUGCUAUAACUCCCAGCCGCUAAACCCCCAAUUUUUUGUGGUUGACCUCGGAUCAGGUAGGAAUACCCGCUGAACUUAAGCAUAUCAAUAAGGCGGAGGAA
RNAcentral lists this ribosomal RNA (527 nucleotides) under Neopestalotiopsis clavispora. RNAcentral describes it as "eukaryotic LSU rRNA". The stretch from base 149 to 302 matches the Rfam family "5.8S ribosomal RNA". Lineage: Eukaryota; Fungi; Ascomycota; Sordariomycetes; Amphisphaeriales; Sporocadaceae. The record is from RNAcentral.